Molecule: long non-coding RNA, 301 nt
Filed under: Manduca sexta (tobacco hornworm)
Lineage: Eukaryota; Metazoa; Arthropoda; Insecta; Lepidoptera; Sphingidae
Description: uncharacterized LOC119191028
Source: RNAcentral
AAAAAGUAAAUAAAAUAAAUACAGGAGGAAGAUUUAUUUGACGUUCUCUAAAUUCUUUGUAAAACUUGGAAGAACGCAGGCAGCAAAUUGCGAUAAAAUGGAGAGAGAUAAAAUAGAGAAGUGAAAUGUAGUUGGAGGAAGACAAGAUCAUGCUCAUUGUACCUCCUCAGAACCCACUUCCAAUAGAAAAUAUAAAGGAGAUAUGUUUGUCCCACAUCUGCAGAAUAAAUUGUAACAGUAGAAGUGCAACAUGCUAUUCAGAUGGACAAUGAGCACCAGUGAAAUAAAAAAAUCAAAAUUG